AAGGAAUAUUGGUCAAUGGACGCAAGUCUGAACCAGCCAUGCCGCGUGGAGGAUUAAGGCCCUCUGGGUUGUAAACUCCUUUUAUCUGGGAAGAAAUGUACUUUUUCUUGAGUACUUGACGGUACCAGAGGAAUAAGCACCGGCUAACUCCGUGCCAGCAGCCGCGGUAAUACGGAGGGUGCAAGCGUUAUCCGGAUUCACUGGGUUUAAAGGGUGCGUAGGUGGGCAGGUAAGUCAGUGGUGAAAUCUCCGGGCUUAACCCGGAAACUGCCGUUGAUACUAUUUGUCUUGUAUAUUGUGGAGGUAAGCUGAAUAUGUCAUGUAGCGGUGAAAUGCUUAGAUAUGACAUAGAACACCAAUUGCGAAGGCAGCUUACUACACAAUCAUUGACGCUGAGGCACGAAAGCGUGGGGAUCAAACA
This 421-nucleotide ribosomal RNA is filed under the name uncultured bacterium. Its description in RNAcentral is "bacterial SSU rRNA". It matches the Rfam family "Bacterial small subunit ribosomal RNA", at positions 356 to 774 of the family's 1533-position model. The record is from RNAcentral.